Molecule: unclassified non-coding RNA, 343 nt
Filed under: Hevea brasiliensis (rubber tree)
Lineage: Eukaryota; Viridiplantae; Streptophyta; Magnoliopsida; Malpighiales; Euphorbiaceae
Source: RNAcentral
AUACCCUGAAGCUGCUGCUCUGUUAGGCCGAGCUCCAUUCGGGUACUUUCGAUCUCUAGGACUAAAAAAGUACCAUUCCUUCUCUCCAAACGCAGCCUUAGCUGGUAAGUCCCAUGAUCAAACUUGUAGAUAUCAACAUCUGCAAUGAUGGAAACAGGAAAGGGUAUAGAUGCAAUCUUCUUUUUAAGGUACUGGAGGAUGAGCUCCUCAUCUGUGGGGUGGAACCUAAAACCCGGUGGCAAGCUUGAUUGUGGGUUCUUCAUGCCUAUAUCUAAUUGAAACUAUGAACCCCACACUCAAUCAAGACAGGUUAUAAGCAAGCAAAAGCUAGCGAAAGAGGGAG